GUCCACGCCCUAAACGAUGUCAACUGGUUGUUGGGUCUUCACUGACUCAGUAACGAAGCUAACGCGUGAAGUUGACCGCCUGGGGAGUACGGCCGCAAGGUUGAAACUCAAAGGAAAUUGACGGGGACCCGGCACAAAGCGGUGGAUGAUGUGGUUUAAUUUCGAUGCAACGCGAAAAACCUUAACCCACCCUUUGACAUGUACGGAAGUUACCAGAGAUGGUUUCGUGCUCGAAAGAGACCGUAACACAGGUGCUGCAUGGCUGUCGU
This 269-nucleotide ribosomal RNA is filed under the name uncultured bacterium. Its description in RNAcentral is "partial 16S ribosomal RNA". It matches the Rfam family "Bacterial small subunit ribosomal RNA", at positions 793 to 1055 of the family's 1533-position model. The record is from RNAcentral.